RNAcentral lists this small RNA (79 nucleotides) under Flavobacterium noncentrifugens. RNAcentral describes it as "Flavo-1 RNA". It matches the Rfam family "Flavo-1 RNA". Lineage: Bacteria; Pseudomonadati; Bacteroidota; Flavobacteriia; Flavobacteriales; Flavobacteriaceae. The record is from Rfam by way of RNAcentral.
CCCUAGCCCCGAUUGAAGCGUAAAUCCUUUUUGAAGCUUGCAAAGCGAAAAAAGAUUGCAGCGGAAAGCGGGAAACAGC